GAAGCAGAAAAUGAGACCAGAAAAAAGAAUUGCGAAAUUGUAUAAGAAGAUAGCUGACAAAGAUAUCAAUUACUCGAGGACAGGGUAGUGGUCAAAAGAAGACUGUUGACAGUGAUGAAGAGGAAUGGUGUAUUGGCUUAUUCAGUGACAAUGAAGAUUAUCAUAGAUUACCAGUUACUAGAGGAAGUGGUCAAAUGAAAGCUGUUCAUAGUGAGAAAGAAUUAUCGUGUAUCAGUGACAAUGAAGAUGGAUGUGGAUUGCCUGUUACUAGAGGGCUUGGGUGUCGUCAAUUGAAAGCUGUUCAUAGUGAGAAAGAAUUAUAUUGUAUCAGUGACAAUAAAGACUAACAAGGAUUACCAGUUAUUUGAGGCCGUGGUCAAAAGAAAGCA
This is a long non-coding RNA of Amphimedon queenslandica, 389 nucleotides long. RefSeq lists it as uncharacterized. The transcript is spliced from 4 exons. The record is from RefSeq and is a predicted model, not a curated record. Lineage: Eukaryota; Metazoa; Porifera; Demospongiae; Haplosclerida; Niphatidae.